Molecule: transfer-messenger RNA, 358 nt
Filed under: Pandoraea communis
Lineage: Bacteria; Pseudomonadati; Pseudomonadota; Betaproteobacteria; Burkholderiales; Burkholderiaceae
Description: Standard tmRNA
Rfam family: transfer-messenger RNA
About the family: Bacterial tmRNA, also known as 10Sa RNA or SsrA, is named for its dual tRNA and mRNA-like properties. Its role is to liberate the mRNA from a stalled ribosome.
Source: RNAcentral
GGGGCCGACAUGGUUUCGACGUGGGUAGCGAAGCGAUUCAGGGCAUACCGAGGACCCGUCACCUCGUUAAUCAAUGGGAAAUUAGUAACUGCUAACGAUAACUCGUACGCACUGGCUGCCUAAGGGCGCCUUCCUCGCACUGGCUCGCUGACGGGCCAGGGUAGCAAUACCUCGCGAGGUCAUUUACGUCAGAUAAUCUCCGGUGGUGCCAUGGCGCCGGGGCCGAAAAUUAAAUGGAUCGCCGUUGCGUAGCGUGUUCGUCCGCGACAAAACGGUUAAAUCAAAUGACUGAACUAAGUAUGUAGAACUGGUCGUAGAGUACUUGCGGACGCGGGUUCGAUCCCCGCCGGCUCCACCA